RNAcentral lists this ribosomal RNA (439 nucleotides) under uncultured Eubacteriales bacterium. RNAcentral's name for it is "bacterial SSU rRNA". It matches the Rfam family "Bacterial small subunit ribosomal RNA", at positions 338 to 795 of the family's 1533-position model. Lineage: Bacteria; Bacillati; Bacillota; Clostridia; Eubacteriales. The record is from RNAcentral.
CCUACGGGGGGCUGCAGUGGGGAAUAUUGCACAAUGGGCGAAAGCCUGAUGCAGCAACGCCGCGUGAGCGAAGAAGGCCUUUGGGUUGUAAAGCUCUGUCGGGUAGGAAGAUAAUGACGGUACUACCCGAGGAAGCCCCGGCUAACUACGUGCCAGCAGCCGCGGUAAUACGUAGGGGGCGAGCGUUAUCCGGAAUUACUGGGUGUAAAGGGUGCGUAGGUGGCUGCUUAAGCGUGAGGUGAAAGGCAAUGGCUUAACCAUUGUGAGCCUCGCGAACUGGGUGGCUUGAGUGCAGGAGAGGAAAGCGGAAUUCCUAGUGUAGCGGUGAAAUGCGUAGAUAUUAGGAGGAACACCAGUGGCGAAGGCGGCUUUCUGGACUGCAACUGACACUGAGGCACGAAAGCGUGGGGAGCAAACAGGAUUAGAUACCCCGGUAGUC